RNAcentral lists this non-coding RNA (31 nucleotides) under Mus musculus (house mouse). The record is from RNAcentral. Lineage: Eukaryota; Metazoa; Chordata; Mammalia; Rodentia; Muridae.
UUCAGGAUCGUUAGAGAGGAAGAGACGAAGC